CAGUCGCCGCGGGAAUACAGAGGGUGCGAGCGUUAAUCGGAUUUACUGGGCGUAAAGCGUGCGUAGGCGGCUUUUUAAGUCGGAUGUGAAAUCCCUGAGCUUAACUUAGGAAUUGCAUUCGAUACUGGGAAGCUAGAGUAUGGGAGAGGAUGGUAGAAUUCCAGGUGUAGCGGUGAAAUGCGUAGAGAUGUGGAGGAAUACCGAUGGCGAAGGCAGCCCCCUGGGCCAAUACUGACGCUCAUGCACGAAAGCGUGGGGAGCAAACAGGAUUAGAUACCCCUGUAGUCCCUGUCUCUUAUAC
RNAcentral lists this ribosomal RNA (301 nucleotides) under uncultured bacterium. Its description in RNAcentral is "partial 16S ribosomal RNA". It matches the Rfam family "Bacterial small subunit ribosomal RNA", at positions 509 to 807 of the family's 1533-position model. The record is from RNAcentral.